CCCUUUCUAUUGCAUCCAAUCUCCCGCCGUAUAAUAGCUAAUAUUUCAAAUUAAGCUGGCGUGCCCAAUAAUCAUCUACUAAAAUUCCCAAAUCACUUUAAACUUUUCCUCAAGGUAUGCAGUUAUCCUGCUACUAAACCCAUAUGCUACAUUGCCACUCUCCCACUUUGGUUAAACUCACUCAUUUAGUUAACUACUCGACUCAUGUUUCCACAUUUGGCCUUCUAGGAGUGUAAACACUGCUAGACACUUCUCGCAUGCCAUUCCUCA
Molecule: long non-coding RNA, 270 nt
Filed under: Nicotiana benthamiana
Lineage: Eukaryota; Viridiplantae; Streptophyta; Magnoliopsida; Solanales; Solanaceae
Description: long non-coding RNA (NBEN_LNC007685)
Source: RNAcentral